This 254-nucleotide unclassified non-coding RNA is filed under the name uncultured fungus. Its description in RNAcentral is "partial contains small subunit ribosomal RNA, internal transcribed spacer 1, and 5.8S ribosomal RNA". The stretch from base 1 to 73 matches the Rfam family "Eukaryotic small subunit ribosomal RNA", at positions 1759 to 1831 of the family's 1831-position model. The record is from RNAcentral. Lineage: Eukaryota; Fungi.
GCAAACUUGGUCAUUUAGAGGAAGUAAAAGUCGUAACAAGGUUUCCGUAGGUGAACCUGCGGAAGGAUCAUUAGAGAUUGGCGCUUGGGCUACCCGCCCGGCGUAUGCCAACAUCCAUAUACACCUGUGAACCUGUGGCCCCUUUUGGGGGGUGCACCUUUCUACAACUCUGUGUAAUGAACGUGAUGUAUCAUAACAAUAACAAAACUUUCAACAACGGAUCUCUUGGCUCUCGCAUCGAUGAAGAACGCAGC